This 364-nucleotide small RNA is filed under the name Pongo abelii (Sumatran orangutan). Its description in RNAcentral is "retained intron". Lineage: Eukaryota; Metazoa; Chordata; Mammalia; Primates; Hominidae. The record is from RNAcentral.
CUGUCUUCAACCAUUCCCUGUACCGCACAUUCGUUCCAGCCAUGACCGCCAUUCACGGCCCACCCAUCACGGCCCCAGUGGUGUGCACCCGGAAGCGCAGGCUUGAGGAUGAUGAGCGGCAGAGCAUCCCCAGUGUGCUCCAGGGCGAGGUGGCCAGGCUGGACCCCAAGUUCCUGGUAAACCUGGACCCUUCUCACUGCAGCAACAAUGGCACUGUCCACCUGAUCUGCAAGCUGGGUGAGUGUCCAGAGGGCCAGGGCUGGCGUGAGAAAGCAGGCCCUGACCGUAGCCCCAGGACUCUGCCGUCCGAGCCAGAGGGCACAGCGCCCAGAACCCACCCUGUGUUCACGCCCCACCAGGCCUC